Molecule: ribosomal RNA, 484 nt
Filed under: uncultured bacterium
Lineage: Bacteria
Description: partial 16S ribosomal RNA
Rfam family: Bacterial small subunit ribosomal RNA
Source: RNAcentral
AUUGAACGCUGGCGGCAGGCCUAACACAUGCAAGUCGAGCGGAUGAAGGGAGCUUGCUCCUGGAUUCAGCGGCGGACGGGUGAGUAAUGCCUAGGAAUCUGCCUGGUAGCGGGGGAUAACGUCCGGAAACGGGCGCUAAUACCGCGUACGUCCUGAGGGAGAAAGUGGGGGAUCUUCGGACCUCACGCUAUCAGAUGAGCCUAGGUCGGAUUAGCUAGUUGGUGGGGUAAAGGCCUACCAAGGCGACGAUCCGUAACUGGUCUGAGAGGAUGAUCAGUCACACUGGAACUGAGACACGGUCCAGACUCCUACGGGAGGCAGCAGUGGGGAAUAUUGGACAAUGGGCGAAAGCCUGAUCCAGCCAUGCCGCGUGUGUGAAGAAGGUCUUCGGAUUGUAAAGCACUUUAAGUUGGGAGGAAGGGCAGUAAGUUAAUACCUUGCUGUUUUGACGUUACCAACAGAAUAAGCACCGGCUAACUUCGUG